GAAAUGCGAUAAGUAAUGUGAAUUGCAGAAUUCAGUGAAUCAUCGAAUCUUUGAACGCACCUUGCGCUCCUUGGUAUUCCUUGGAGCAUGCCUGUUUGAGUAUCAUGAAAUCUUCAAAGUAAAUCUUUUGUUAACUCAAUUGGUUUCUACUUUGGUAUUGGAGGUCUUUGCAGCUUCACACCUGCUCCUCUUUGUUCAUUAGCUGGAUCUCAGUGUUAUGCUUGGUUCCACUCGGCGUGAUAAGUUAUCUAUCGCUGAGGACACUGUAAAAGGUGGCCAAGGUAAAUGCAGAUGAACCGCUUCUAAUAGUCCAUUGAAUUGGAAAAUACUUUUAUGAUCUGAUCUCAAAUCAGGUAGGACUACCCGCUGAACUUAAGC
Molecule: unclassified non-coding RNA, 378 nt
Filed under: plant metagenome
Description: partial contains 5.8S ribosomal RNA, internal transcribed spacer 2, and large subunit ribosomal RNA
Rfam family: 5.8S ribosomal RNA (bases 1-105)
Source: RNAcentral